This 440-nucleotide ribosomal RNA is filed under the name uncultured bacterium. RNAcentral's name for it is "partial 16S ribosomal RNA". It matches the Rfam family "Bacterial small subunit ribosomal RNA", at positions 338 to 795 of the family's 1533-position model. The record is from RNAcentral.
CCUACGGGUGGCAGCAGUGGGGAAUAUUGCACAAUGGGGGGAACCCUGAUGCAGCGACGCCGCGUGGGUGAAGAAGCGCCUCGGCGCGUAAAGCCCUGUCAGCAGGGAAGAAAAUGACGGUACCUGAAGAAGAAGCCCCGGCUAACUACGUGCAAGCAGCCGCGGUAAUACGGAGGGGGCCAGCGUUAUCCGGAUUUACUGGGUGUAAAGGGGGCGCAGGCGGCGAUGCAAGCCUGCAGUGAAAGGCCGGGGCCCAACCCCGGGACUGCAGUGGGAACUGCGUGGCUGGAGUGCGGGGGGGGCAGGCGGAAUUCGUGGUGUAGCGGUGAAAUGCGUAGAUAUGAGGAGGAACCCCGGUGGCGAAGGCGGCCUGCUGGAGUGCAACUGACGCUGAGGCCCGAAAGCGUGGGGAGCAAACAGGAUUAGAUACCCGGGUAGUC